AUCGGCGUUGCUGGUGAGCGCUCCACGCGAGCGUUCGCGACUGCCGAAGUCGCUUAGCUGCUUUUGACCACGGAUGUACUGGCACUGGUGUGAAGAGCGAUGUCGAGAAGGUCGGUGCGGUUUCGCCCCGGCCUUUUUUAUU
Molecule: non-coding RNA, 142 nt
Organism: Rhizobium yanglingense
Lineage: Bacteria; Pseudomonadati; Pseudomonadota; Alphaproteobacteria; Hyphomicrobiales; Rhizobiaceae
Source: Rfam